RNAcentral lists this transfer RNA (68 nucleotides) under Bassaricyon gabbii (olingo). RNAcentral describes it as "tRNA-Arg". It matches the Rfam family "tRNA". Rfam says of the family: Transfer RNA (tRNA) molecules are approximately 80 nucleotides in length. RNAcentral also lists the same sequence under 1 other name. Lineage: Eukaryota; Metazoa; Chordata; Mammalia; Carnivora; Procyonidae. The record is from RNAcentral.
UGAUAAUUAGUUUAAUCAAAACAAAUGAUUUCGACUCAUUAAACUACAGCUAAUUCUGUAAUUAUCAA